AUUGAACGCUAACGGCAUGCUUAACACAUGCAAGUCGAACGGCAGCACAGCAGUAGCAAUACUGUGGGUGGCGAGUGGCGGACGGGUGAGUAAUGUAUAGGAAUCUGCCUUGUAGUGGGGGAUAACCUGGGGAAACUCGGGCUAAUACCGCAUAAUCUUUACGAAGCAAAGCGGGGGAUCGUAAGACCUUGCGCUAUAAGAUGAGCCUAUAUUGGAUUAGCUAGUUGGUGGGGUAAAGGCCUACCAAGGCGACGAUCCAUAGCUGGUCUGAGAGGAUGAUCAGCCACACUGGGACUGAGACACGGCCCAGACUCUUACGGGAGGCAGCAGUGGGGAAUAUUGGACAAUGGGGGAAACCCUGAUCCAGCAAUGCCGUGUGUGUGAAGAAGGCCUUCGGGUUGUAAAGCACUUUUAGUGGGAAAGAAAAGCUCAAAGCUAAUAACUUUGAGCCUUGACGUUACCCACAGAAAAAGCACUGGCUAACUCUGUGCCAGCCGCCGCGGUAA
RNAcentral lists this ribosomal RNA (506 nucleotides) under uncultured bacterium. RNAcentral's name for it is "partial 16S ribosomal RNA". It matches the Rfam family "Bacterial small subunit ribosomal RNA", at positions 30 to 523 of the family's 1533-position model. The record is from RNAcentral.